Molecule: ribosomal RNA, 253 nt
Filed under: uncultured bacterium
Lineage: Bacteria
Description: partial 16S ribosomal RNA
Rfam family: Bacterial small subunit ribosomal RNA
Source: RNAcentral
UACGAAGGGGGCUAGCGUUGCUCGGAAUGACUGGGCGUAAAGGGCGCGUAGGCGGAUGGUACAGUCAGAUGUGAAAUUCCCGGGCUUAACCUGGGGGCUGCAUUUGAUACGUGCGAUCUGGAGUGAGGAAGAGGGUCGUGGAAUUCCCAGUGUAGAGGUGAAAUUCGUAGAUAUUCGCAAGAACACCAGUGGCGAAGGCGGCUCACUGGCCCGAUACUGACGCUGAGGCACGAAAGCGUGGGGAGCAAACAGG